This is a long non-coding RNA of Saccostrea cuccullata (small rock oyster), 788 nucleotides long. RefSeq lists it as uncharacterized. The record is from RefSeq and is a predicted model, not a curated record. The transcript is spliced from 3 exons. Lineage: Eukaryota; Metazoa; Mollusca; Bivalvia; Ostreida; Ostreidae.
GGUGUGACGUCAAAUCCUCGUGCAGAGAAAAGAAGCGCCACUGAGUUUUCAUAAAGUUCGUCCAAAAAAUACUUGCAAAAAUGGACGAAAUGCAACUUUCAGAUACUUGUUCUUCUGAAGAACUCUCAAUAUCAUGACGAGCACAAAAAGAAAAAGAAGUCGUAAUAAUAUAAUGAAUGACUCCAGUUAGUCAUCCCACAGGACAGGCUGAGAAGGAACAUCCUUUCCCUUAGCUCUCUCCUCAACGGCAUGAACAAGCCCUGUUAAUCCAUAGUAUGCUGCCUCCACAUGGAUUUGCCGGAGGAUGGACUUAUCAAAUGGGAGGACCUUGGAGUUGUACGUCGCCGAUCUGAGGUAAUCUAGUAUGAAGUCGAAAUAACGGGGGUUCCUAUCUAGGAAAAAUGUUUUUGUGUCGUUGUUUGUUGCACAAAGGUCUUUUGCCACCAUGGCCGAUAAUAUAGAGCUCGGGUCUGCUUGCAUGGUUUGUUUACUUGUCUCAAAUCGUCUACCUCCGACGUUCAACACUAUUCUUUCUUUCUGUUGUAUUUCCAGGCUCUUUAUCAUUAUUUCCCUUUUGUCUGUCGGGUUAUAUGUCGGUGCCGGAAGGUCAGCCACUUCGUACUCCAGAGCUGCAGGGUUCUUCGAAACUCUCGGUUCUGCUCCACGCACUGAGAUAUCAGGGCUCUCCAAGGAAUUUGUCGAUGACCUUUUGGAGGAAGAGUGGCUGGAGGACGACGAGGAUGAUGUAUCAUCAAAAAGCCUUUUGCUGACUGUCCUAUCCUUUUGUG